RNAcentral lists this ribosomal RNA (410 nucleotides) under uncultured bacterium. Its description in RNAcentral is "bacterial SSU rRNA". It matches the Rfam family "Bacterial small subunit ribosomal RNA", at positions 370 to 772 of the family's 1533-position model. The record is from RNAcentral.
AAUGGGGGCAACCCCGAUCCAGCCAUGCCGCGUGAGUGAAGAAGGCCUUCGGGUUGUAAAGCUCUUUCGGCCGGGAAGAAAUCGCAUGGGUGGAUACCCUGUGUGGACGACGGUACCGGAACAAGAAGCACCGGCUAACUACGUGCCAGCAGCCGCGGUAAUACGUAGGGUGCGAGCGUUAAUCGGAAUUACUGGGCGUAAAGCGUGCGCAGGCGGUUUCGUAAGACAGAUGUGAAAGCCCCGGGCUCAACCUGGGAAGUGCAUUGGUGACUGCGAGACUAGAGUGUGUCAGAGGGAGGUAGUAUUCCACGUGUAGCAGUGAAAUGCGUAGAGAUGUGGAGGAAUACCGAUGGCGAAGGCAGCCUCCUGGGAUAACACUGACGCUCAUGCACGAAAGCGUGGGGAGCAAA